CUAAGAAAACGGCGAAAGCUUGUUCGAAUUUACGACAUAAAAAAUGUAAAACUGUGUGUGUGUAGUGUGCUUGUGUGUGUACUAUACUGAUAUAGCAGUAGUGGUGGUGGUGGUUUGUCAGUCAGCAGUAGUGUUUGUCUGUGGCAGUGCUGCUGCUGCUGCUGCUAUUGUUUACUUGCUGUUGUUGUGUGUUGUUGUACACACACACCCACACAAUUCUGUGUGCAGUUGUCGUAUGUUUUCGAAAGGGAAUCCGGUUGAUAUUCCGGAACCGAGUAACGGAGACAAAGAGUAGCGCUUUAAUCUUCCGGUUGGCGUUCAACUCAAUCGCGCGGUAACGCAAGCGAACUCGGAAAAUGACCGUCGUGAGUUUCGAAAAGAGUUUUCUUUUCUUUUUAAGGGACGCAUUCCCUGGAACCGGGUUGUCCGGAGAUAGGGAUUCUGGUAUCCAUAAAACGCCGA
Molecule: ribosomal RNA, 462 nt
Filed under: Trichinella pseudospiralis
Lineage: Eukaryota; Metazoa; Nematoda; Enoplea; Trichinellida; Trichinellidae
Description: partial large subunit ribosomal RNA
Rfam family: Eukaryotic large subunit ribosomal RNA
Source: RNAcentral